Molecule: transfer RNA, 91 nt
Filed under: Candidatus Omnitrophota bacterium
Lineage: Bacteria; Pseudomonadati; Candidatus Omnitrophota
Description: tRNA-Ser
Rfam family: tRNA
About the family: Transfer RNA (tRNA) molecules are approximately 80 nucleotides in length. Their secondary structure includes four short double-helical elements and three loops (D, anti-codon, and T loops).
Source: RNAcentral
GGAGAGGUCGCAUAGUCCGGUCGAGUGCGCGUGUUUGGAGUACACGUGGGCCCUUUGGGUCUCCAGGGUUCGAAUCCCUGCCUCUCCGCCA